Molecule: ribosomal RNA, 250 nt
Filed under: uncultured bacterium
Lineage: Bacteria
Description: partial 16S ribosomal RNA
Rfam family: Bacterial small subunit ribosomal RNA
Source: RNAcentral
UACGUAGGGUGCAAGCGUUAAUCGGAAUUACUGGGCGUAAAGCGUGCGCAGGCGGUUAUGCAAGACAGAUGUGAAAUCCCCGGGCUCAACCUGGGAACUGCAUUUGUGACUGCAUAGCUAGAGUACGGUAGAGGGGGAUGGAAUUCCGCGUGUAGCAGUGAAAUGCGUAGAUAUGCGGAGGAACACCGAUGGCGAAGGCAAUCCCCCUGGACCUGUACUGACGCUCAUGCACGAAAAGCGUGGGGAGCAA